AGUGAACGCUGGCGGUAGGCCUAACACAUGCAAGUCGAACGGCAGCACAGUAAGAGCUUGCUCUUACGGGUGGCGAGUGGCGGACGGGUGAGGAAUACAGCGGAAUCUACUUUUUCGUGGGGGAUAACGUAGGGAAACUUACGCUAAUACCGCAUACGACCUACGGGUGAAAGCAGGGGAUCUUCGGACCUUGCGCGAUUGAAUGAGCCGAUGUCGGAUUAGCUAGUUGGCGGGGUAAAGGCCCACCAAGGCGACGAUCCGUAGCUGGUCUGAGAGGAUGGUCAGCCACACUGGAACUGAGACACGGUCCAGACUCCUACGGGAGGCAGCAGUGGGGAAUAUUGGACAAUGGGCGCAAGCCUGAUCCAGCCAUACCGCGUGGGUGAAGAAGGCCUUCGGGUUGUAAAGCCCUUUUGUUGGGAAAGAAAAGCAGCAGGUUAAUACCCCGCUGUUCUGACGGUACCCAAAGAAUAAGCACCGGCUAACUUCGUG
This 492-nucleotide ribosomal RNA is filed under the name uncultured bacterium. RNAcentral's name for it is "partial 16S ribosomal RNA". It matches the Rfam family "Bacterial small subunit ribosomal RNA", at positions 29 to 507 of the family's 1533-position model. The record is from RNAcentral.